Molecule: long non-coding RNA, 686 nt
Filed under: Homo sapiens (human)
Lineage: Eukaryota; Metazoa; Chordata; Mammalia; Primates; Hominidae
Description: non-protein coding lnc-ARFIP2-2:1
Source: RNAcentral
AUGGCUGUGCCACCCAAGUAUGCCAAUCUUGGCAAAUCUGCCAGGAAUGUCUUCAACAAGGGCUACGGAUAUGGCCUAAUAAACCUUUUGAAAACAAAAUCUGAGAAUGCAUUGGAAUUUGAAAGCUUAGGCUCAGCCAACACUGAAAUCACCAAAGUGACAGGCAGUCAUGGAGACCAAGUACAGAUGGACUGAGUACGGCCUGAUGUUUAUGAAGUGAAACACACAACACACCAGGACUGAGAUUACUGUGGAAGAUCAUCUUGCAAGUGGACUGAAGCUGACCCUCAAUUCACCCUUGUCACCUAAUACUGGGGGAAAAAUGCUAAAAUCAACACCAGGUACAAGCAGGAGCACAUCAACUUGGGCUGUAACCUGGAUUUUGACAUCACUGGACCUUCCAUCUGGGGCGCUCUGGUGCUGGGUUACAAGGGUUGACUGGCUGGCUACCAGAUAAAUUUUGAGACUGCAAAAUCCUGAGUGACCCAGAGCAACUCUGCAGUUGGUUACAAGUCUGAUGAAUUCCAACUUCACACUAACGUAAAUAAUGGGAGUGAACAACUCUAGCCUAACAGGUUUAGAAUACACUGAGACCCUAAAGCCAGGUAUCAAAAUGACACUGUCAGCUCUCCUGGAUGGCAAGAAUAACAAUGCCAGUGGUUACACGCUAGGUCUGGAACUGAAAU